Molecule: non-coding RNA, 374 nt
Organism: Pelobates cultripes (western spadefoot toad)
Lineage: Eukaryota; Metazoa; Chordata; Amphibia; Anura; Pelobatidae
Source: the annotation of a GenBank genome assembly
GCAAAUAAAUAUACAAGUCCAUUAAAUCUGACUAAACCUACUUUGUGUCACAUUCAGUCUGCUAAUUCACAUCAUGUACAGUCAGACUGCGUGGUGGAACUCAGCUAGUGAAGAAUAUGGAACAGUUCCCAGUGCCUAAAUCUAAAAGUGUGACCCCGUAUGUAUUUAUUAGGCCCAAAGCAGCUGCCUAUCAUAUAUAGUUCACUGUAGACGCAUUGCAAGAGCCUUGCUAACCCUUACUGAAAGGGAAAUGGUUUUAACCAGUCAUCAGCGUAGAUGACAACUGACUAACUUGUCACUGCUAAUUUAUAACUUAAAGAACCACUAUAGGCACCCAGACCACUUCAGCUCAAUGAAGUGGUCUGGGUGCCAGG